This 1119-nucleotide long non-coding RNA is filed under the name Piliocolobus tephrosceles (Ugandan red Colobus). Its description in RNAcentral is "lncRNA (ENSPTEG00000022486.1)". The record is from RNAcentral. Lineage: Eukaryota; Metazoa; Chordata; Mammalia; Primates; Cercopithecidae.
AUUCAAUGAACACUGAGCUCUACUAAGUGACAGAUGCUACUGAAUAGCAGAGAACCGAAGAUAACAAGAUAGCCUCUGCCCUUAAUAAGGUCACAGUGUGAGGAGGGAGGCAGAAUGGUGCCUAACUAUAAAUGCAGUGUGGUAGAUUUCACUGGACACAGCUGGAGGAGAGUGGGGAAAGCUUCGUGAAGGAGGUGCUGUGGAGUUGACUCAUGAAGGGUGAGGAAAAUUAUGAUGGCUGAACAUUUAUUGAGUGCCUACCAUCUCCCUGCUAAGCAACUUAAAUAUAGCAUUAUUUAACGCUGUGAACAGGUGUAUAACAUAAGUACUGAUAUUACUUUUACCUUAGGGUUGAAGAAGCAGGCUCAGAAAGGACCAAGGUUUGGAGCGACCACUGGUGGACUUAAGAUUCAGACCUGGUUCUUCCUGGUUUCACAUCUCCUGCUUUAACCAUGUGCUGGUCAGACAAGAAAGGAAAUCAGAGCAGAAGAAAUAAUCCAUCUCAAAAAUGGAAACUUCAUGGUGUGUAUUCAGGGAACCGCAGGAAUUCCAGGGAAGAGAUGAGGCAGGAGUCCACCUCACUCAGAAGUGGUUUUCGCAACCCUGUCUGGAGUUACAGCCUCAGUGAUCUUCCUUAUUGAUGAAAUACCACUGGAAACUUGAGUGCAGACCCAUUUUGGCCCAGCCUUCUUCUGAGUGCACAGUGCCCACCAGGAACAAAGUGUCCAGGUGACACCCAGCCAAGAGCCUCCACUUCAGAAUGGAAGCCAGCACAGCUUAAAGCUUGCCGUCAGUGAGGUUCCUGGAGGAACCAGGAAACAGGGCUGAGGUAAGAGAAAGAACCCCAGCAACUCACUGUCCUUGUCCUCCCCUUCUAUAUCAGUAUGGUCCCCGCUUCUGGUUUGGGAAGGGUGGGGAAGAACAUGUUUGCCCCAAACCACACCCCAUCUCGGGCCAAGCAGGGCCAUGGCAGUAUUGCAGUGGGGAAGGAAUGAACACUCUUCAGGGUGGUCUCUUUAUCUGCUCAUGCAGGGGUCCAUCCAGAUCACUUAGAGUGGAGAACAGGAGCAAGAAUAGAAGUGGCAAGAGAGGGUGCUUUGAGGUCAUGUGACCCUGAGU